This 214-nucleotide ribosomal RNA is filed under the name Enterococcus mundtii. RNAcentral's name for it is "partial 16S ribosomal RNA". It matches the Rfam family "Bacterial small subunit ribosomal RNA", at positions 100 to 307 of the family's 1533-position model. Lineage: Bacteria; Bacillati; Bacillota; Bacilli; Lactobacillales; Enterococcaceae. The record is from RNAcentral.
GAACGGGUGAGUAACACGUGGGUAACCUGCCCAUCAGAAGGGGAUAACACUUGGAAACAGGUGCUAAUACCGUAUAACAAUCGAAACCGCAUGGUUUCGUUUUGAAAGGCGCUUUACGGUGCCGCUGAUGGAUGGACCCGCGGUGCAUUAGCUAGUUGGUGAGGUAACGGCUCACCAAGGCCACGAUGCAUAGCCGACCUGAGAGGGUGAUCGG